Molecule: unclassified non-coding RNA, 245 nt
Filed under: Hevea brasiliensis (rubber tree)
Lineage: Eukaryota; Viridiplantae; Streptophyta; Magnoliopsida; Malpighiales; Euphorbiaceae
Source: RNAcentral
GGUAAGAUACACUAACAUUAAACAUGUCUCUGUAUCAUCAACACCGACCCACGUCCCAAAAACCCUCCUAAAACCCCAGAGAGACCUUCAAUUCUAUCAAAGUUCAUCCUCCAUCCUCAAAUAUUCACCAAUAUCCGCCUGGUGAUGCACCACGAUUCCAUUAGGAUCCAACUUCCUGCAAUCCUGGGUGGAUCUCGCGGCGGAACCAAAUCCUAAAGGCACAUCAGACAUAGAGAACACCACAA